AGUGAACGCUGGCGGCGUGCUUAACACAUGCAAGUCGAACGAGAACGGAUUAUAGCUUGCUAUAAUUGUCAGCUAAGUGGCGCACGGGUGAGUAAUGUAUAGGUAUUAUGCCUCUUACUAAGGGAUAACAAAUGGAAACGUUUGCUAAUACCUUAUACUCCUUAUUAACAGAAGUUAAUAAGGGAAAGAUUUAUUGGUAAGAGAUUAGCCUGUAUUGUAUCAGUUAGUUGGUGGGGUAAUGGCUUACCAAGACUAUGACACAUAACUGGUUUGGGAGGAGGAUCAGUCACACGGAAACUGAGACAGGGUCCAGACUCGUACGGGAGGCAGCAGUGGGGAAUAUUGCACAAUGGACGAAAGUCUGAUGCAGCAAGGCCGCGUGGAGGAUGACACAUUUCGGUGCGUAAACUCCUUUUAUAUGAGAAGAUAAUGACGGUAUUAUAUGAAUAAGCACCGGCUAACUCCGUGCCAGCCGCCGCAGUAA
Molecule: ribosomal RNA, 484 nt
Filed under: uncultured bacterium
Lineage: Bacteria
Description: partial 16S ribosomal RNA
Rfam family: Bacterial small subunit ribosomal RNA
Source: RNAcentral